UUGCCCCAUCCCAGAGUGCUCCACGAUACCCAGCUAGCGUUCACUCGAGGAAAAAGACAUCCCGAUCCGUUCGAUCUGGGAACGAGCCCCGCAUCCAUCUGGACCGUCCCAGCAUGAAACACGACACACAACCGACGGAAACCCUAGCCACCCACGCUGCCUAGCUCCUCUCCGCCGCCCCAUUCCUCGCCUCCCCUCCGCCGCCCCUUCGCUUCCUCCUCUCCACAACGUCCAGCUCCCCAUGAACAGGACCGAGAGGAUGUAGCCCUUCCUCACCGGCGCUCGGUCCGCAGAUGCGACGCGCGAGAGUGAAGGAUGAGCGGCAGUGGCCCACUUCCUCCUCUUCGCCGCCGCCCUCCCUCCCCUGGCCGUCGCCUCUCUUUCCCCACACCUCCUCCUCUCCUUCUCCCAGCGGGCUCGUCGCUCCUCUGUGGACGAAAUCCAUGGGAAUCACGAUCAACAGCGUGGAGGAUGCGGCAGUGGCAUGGGAAGUCGACGGCGCUGAUGAGGAUGGAGACAGACACUCAGUGGUCCGGUUUGCAUCUUAUAUUUGUCACGUGGCCGACGUACUGGUCUCCAGCGCCCUCGUUGGAGACGAGGGCCAUCGUGGGCGUGCAGUGACGAGCGCACAGCUUUGCCUCGCAUAUGUCACUGCUUCGACUGCCACCCAAACGUAUUGCAGGUAUGCCAAGAAAGAUCCAUCAGAAAAUAUUAAGUACUUCCAUUUGUUUAGAUAUAAAGUGAAAAUCCUUACAUUGUGAAGAACAUUGGGUUUAUUGGAUUACCCUUCUUUCAGAACUAAAUGGCUCCUGCCGAAGGAAUGUACUGAUGAUGAGUCUACCGCCUAAAAUUACCAAGUAUACUGCUACGAUGCCCUGCGGUAUUUUAUCUAUGAAGUCAGAUGGGUUCAGUUACUUGGUAUUGCUUGAGGAGAUCAAUAGUCUGUGGGAUAUCAGUUGCUUGAGGAGAUCAAUAGUCUGUGGGAUAUCAGUUGCUUGAGGAGAUCAAUAGUAUGUGGGAUAUCAGUUGCUUGAGGAGAUCAAUAGUCUGUGGGAUCAGUUGCUUGAGGAGAUCAAUAGUCUGUGGGAUAUCAGUUGAACGUAAACUCGCUAUCGCUGCCUACAAACCAUAACCCACUUAAUCACACUUCGUAUCAUAGGUAUGCGAUGUUGCGUCCUCUUCAUUGUUCUAUUGGUGAAGAGUUUCCGUUUCCUUCCCCGUUGUGUUCUCAGUCUGCUGGUCCAGAGGGACUUAUGUUGAACAUUUCGUUUCUAUACUUGGCACGCAUUGCACUCAAUACUACAGGCUUCUUGAAGGACAAUCUUCGAGAGUUCUUUUAUUCGGUUUGGUUGUCAGAGUUUAUUCUAGAGCCAACAAGCAAGAAAAAAGUUGGAAUGAACAAUCUACAGGGGAAUCAGCUUGCACAAUUUUCCCGAUGGAAUGGUGCUGUUUCUUGGUUCUGUGAAGGGUGUUCGCGUGGGACUUAACUGGCUUCUGCUAUUGCAUUACAUAACAUACCUGAUGUGAUGAAAUCAACCCAUCAGCCUUUCCGGUUAAGUAACCUGACUAUUCUUAUCUGAAGGUCUGCACGCAUAUCGCUGUGAUUGCGCGCUAACCGUUAUAAUGUAUAAUAUUACAUUUAAUCAGUCUAUUUUCAGUUUGAUGCUGAGCAAGCAUAAUAGAAUUAGGUGGCAUUAAGCGUAUUAGUACACAAGGGACCAAUUUGGAAAUUGUGUUUGCAUGAUCUAUUAUUCUGAAUAAAAUUUGCUGCAGAAUUUUUUUGUGUGGAGAGGAUGAUUUAGGGAAGUUAUGGUUGUACAAACAAAUAUCUGAGACUACUGAUUUUGUGUUGUUUACUAUCCGUGCUUCUUCUCUUAUUCACUAUCCUAUGAUUAAAUAUACGCAUCUUCUUUAGGGACUGUCGAAUGGAUAUUUUUAAAGAAAUAAUUACAAAUUUGCAUAUAGAUUAUUAGAUCUUUAUUUCUACGCUUACAUUGUAUGCUUGUAGCAAUUGAAGUCCACCUUUUCUUUUAAUAUUGGUCGAGUUCUUCGCUGGUUUAUUGUAAUGUGUUGUCAUAAAUUAUUAUCUUAAAUCAAUGGGUUACUACCUUUAAGCACUAUUUAUUGUUCGUUCUAUUUCACAAUGGUGAUAUUCAACUAUAUAUACAUAAAGUCGAUCUAUGUGGACAGGAUACUACAUCUGUAUCAUGAAAUCUUGAAAUCCUUGUAUCAUGACAGCAUAGACCGACUUUGUUACUGUGUGGGAUCCUACAGCAAACCAAUCCAUGUGAGCACAAGAGGUGAAAGCUUAUUAGGAGCUUGAUUCACGUGGAAUAGUUGAUAGAUAUCUGAAACCAAGCUGAAUGAGAAGAAGUAAGUGCAAGCUGUGUUACUUCUGUUUUCUUGUUGCACUUUGACUCGCAAUAGAAAGGUAAAUCAUGGUGACUGAUAUUACAUUCAGUGGUUGUUAAUUUCUUCUGUCCUAAUGUACCGAGGCAAACAGUUUUGCAUGUCCAAUGCGUGAACCAGAAACUGCAAGAAGCAUAAAUCAGCUGUUUAACAUAAAUGUGAUGGCUAUCUAGGUGAAUCACUUUGUGCUUCAUGUGCUGAUUAGUUCAAAGAAUCAAAUUUCAUUCAAGGCAAGCUACACAGGUGGAAAAGCAAUUGGCUGAAAACUCUCUCUCUGAUGUUUGAGAAGCAAACUCUUGCAGAUAGCUCAGUGGACAAGAGCUAUAUCAAAGUUAGCGAAGCAUCAAUAUAUUGAAGUUUUGCUUUUGUUCUGCACUGUCAUUGUGUAUCAUUGGAAAUAAGGAGAUGUGUUUUCUUUAUGCCUGUUGUAGAUGACCGAAUUCUGUAUUUUCUUUAUUGUGGAGUUACCAAGUGAUGUAAGGGCACUCGACUUUGAUUUUCUCCAAGCAUUAAUUUUAGGGCACUCAACUUUGAUUUA
RNA transcript from Lolium rigidum, 2947 nucleotides. RefSeq lists it as uncharacterized. The transcript is spliced from 6 exons. The record is from RefSeq and is a predicted model, not a curated record. NCBI's taxonomy places the organism in Eukaryota, Viridiplantae, Streptophyta, Magnoliopsida, Poales, Poaceae.